Molecule: non-coding RNA, 47 nt
Filed under: Trypanosoma brucei brucei
Lineage: Eukaryota; Euglenozoa; Kinetoplastea; Trypanosomatida; Trypanosomatidae
Source: RNAcentral
AAACGUAAAUGAGAGUAUGAAUCAGUGUGAAGGUAUAGUAAUGAUUU